Molecule: long non-coding RNA, 1021 nt
Filed under: Pelobates cultripes (western spadefoot toad)
Lineage: Eukaryota; Metazoa; Chordata; Amphibia; Anura; Pelobatidae
Source: RNAcentral
GGAAGGCAGGGCUGCCGGAGUGGGUGAGAUACACACAGGCAGAUGCUGAGGAGAACAGGAUUGUAAAGCUGCAUUAUGUAGCGACGAGUGUGCUGCGAGAAAGGGAGAGAGAGAGAGAGAGAGAGAGAUCAAGGAGGAGGAGGAGAGAGAGACAGCAAACCUUGCCAGGUAAACAUCUCUGUUUCCUAUUAACAAUCCAUCCCUCCCGCAUUGAUAAGGAAUGAGUGGAUCCCUGCAGAGAGAAGCUGAAUAUUGCUGGUAAUCUGUGCUGUAUACUGACUGGAUGCACAGAACCUGCCAGGGUUAUUGAAGCACCUUCCUGCUGCUCUGGAUGGACUUCUUGGAAGGUCUGAAUAUGUGAAGAUCCAGGGCAGGGAUACGUUGUAGCUGUGGUACAGGGCAGGGAUACGUUGUAGCUGUGGUACAGGGCAGGGAUACAUUGUUGCUGUGUAUAUUCCUAUGUCUAUGGAAGAACCCAUCUCUCUCCAGGGUUGGAUUACAAGGAUGGCUUGUGUUUGGCAAGAGAAAGAACAUCAAAUGGUCUUUUAGGUGGCUUUUGCUUUGGAAUGUCAUCUCCUGGGUGGUUCUUUAAAAAAUUGAUACCCUACAACCUCCGCCAUUGGAUACCCAGCCUGGUUGACAACUUACCCACGGCUGGUGGAGACGGCGGACCCACCAGGUCUUGGCUUUGGUUUGCUCUGGGUUUUCCGGGUUUUUGGGGCGUUGGAAAGAGUCCCGGACAUUUAGGAAAGCGGGAUUUAACACCGUAAGUUUGUUUCUAAAAAACUGAAAUAAAAGGAAGAAAAAAUUUAAAAAGGAGGAUUGUGGGAAAGAAGAUGGGAAUUUGGGGUUCUGACUGAAAUGCUAAACAAACUCCUCUCCAGAUUAAUCGAAGGAGGCUGUCGUUCAACCAAGGAUCUUUACUGUCUAUGAAGGGGGCAGGUAAUGCUUGUUUUCAACUCUUUUGUAUGAAAACGCUUUGUGCUUGUACUGGAGGUCAUAGUCCUCCUAAUGUUCAAAG